RNAcentral lists this transfer RNA (75 nucleotides) under Streptomyces phage Bmoc. RNAcentral describes it as "tRNA-Ala". It matches the Rfam family "tRNA". Rfam says of the family: Transfer RNA (tRNA) molecules are approximately 80 nucleotides in length. Lineage: Duplodnaviria; Heunggongvirae; Uroviricota; Caudoviricetes; Stanwilliamsviridae. RNAcentral also lists the same sequence under 3 other names. The record is from RNAcentral.
GGGCGGUUAGUGUUAAUGGUAGCACGAGUGCUUUGCACGCAUUAAGCAGGGGUUCGAAUCCCCUACUGUCCACCA